This 301-nucleotide ribosomal RNA is filed under the name uncultured bacterium. RNAcentral describes it as "partial 16S ribosomal RNA". It matches the Rfam family "Bacterial small subunit ribosomal RNA", at positions 509 to 807 of the family's 1533-position model. The record is from RNAcentral.
CAGUAGCCGCGGUAAUACGGAGGGUGCAAGCGUUAAUCGGAAUUACUGGGCGUAAAGCGUGCGUAGGCGGUUCGUUAAGUCUGUUGUGAAAGCCCCGGGCUCAACCUGGGAAUGGCAAUGGAUACUGGCGAGCUAGAGUGUGUCAGAGGAUGGUGGAAUUCCCGGUGUAGCGGCGAAAUGCGUAGAUAUCGGAAGUAACACCAGUGGCGAAAGCGACUUCCUGGUCGAAUACUGACGUUCAUGUGCGAAAGCGUGGGGAGCAAACAGGAUUAGAUACCCGGGUAGUCCCUGUCUCUUAUAC